GUCUUUUUGAUUAAUAAUUUAAAGUUUAAUCUGCCCCCUGAUUAAUAAUUAAAGGGCUGCAGUAUAUUGACUGUACAAAGGUAGCAUAAUCAUUAGUCUUUUAAUUGAAGACUUGUAUGAAAGAUUUGAUGAAAUAUAAACUGUCUCUAAAUUAAUUAUAGAAAUUAAUUUUUUAAUUAAAAAGUUAAAAUAAUUUAAAAAGACGAGAAGACCCUAUAGAGUUUUAUAAUAAUUAAAAAUUUAAAUUAAAUAUAUAAAUAAUAAAUUUAAAAUUUUAUUAUUAUUUUAUUGGGGUGAUAAAAAAAUUUAAUUAACUUUUUUUAAAAUAAAAUCAUAAAUAAGUGAAUAGAUGAUCCAUAAUUAAUGAUUAAAAGAAAAAAUUACCUUAGGGAUAACAGCGUAAUUUUUUUUUUUAGUACAAAUAAAAAAAAAAGGUUGCGACCUCGAUGUUGGAUUAAGAUAAAAUUUAAAUGCAAAAGUUUAAAAUUUUGAUCUGUUCGAUCAUUAAAAUCUUACAU
Molecule: ribosomal RNA, 518 nt
Filed under: Dione glycera
Lineage: Eukaryota; Metazoa; Arthropoda; Insecta; Lepidoptera; Nymphalidae
Description: partial 16S ribosomal RNA
Rfam family: Archaeal large subunit ribosomal RNA (bases 391-518)
Source: RNAcentral